Molecule: ribosomal RNA, 460 nt
Filed under: uncultured bacterium
Lineage: Bacteria
Description: partial 16S ribosomal RNA
Rfam family: Bacterial small subunit ribosomal RNA
Source: RNAcentral
CCUACGGGAGGCUGCAGUGAGGAAUAUUGGUCAAUGGACGAGAGUCUGAACCAGCCAAGUAGCGUGAAGGAUGACUGCCCUAUGGGUUGUAAACUUCUUUUAUCAGGGAAUAAAACGAGGCACGUGUGCCUUUUUGCAUGUACUUUAUGAAUAAGGAUCGGCUAACUCCGUGCCAGCAGCCGCGGUAAUACGGAGGAUCCGAGCGUUAUCCGGAUUUAUUGGGUUUAAAGGGAGCGUAGAUGGGUUGUUAAGUCAGUGGUGAAAGGUUGCGGCUCAACCGUAAAAUUGCAAUUGAUACUGGCAGUCUUGAGUACAGUUGAGGUAGGCGGAAUUCGCGGUGUAGCGGUGAAAUGCUUAGAUAUCACGAAGAACCCCGAUUGCGAAGGCAGCUUACUAACCUGUGACUGACAUUGAUGCUCGAAAGUGUGGGUAUCAAACAGGAUUAGAUACCCCAGUAGUC